This 253-nucleotide ribosomal RNA is filed under the name uncultured bacterium. RNAcentral describes it as "partial 16S ribosomal RNA". It matches the Rfam family "Bacterial small subunit ribosomal RNA", at positions 524 to 776 of the family's 1533-position model. The record is from RNAcentral.
UACAGAGGUCUCAAGCGUUGUUCGGAUUCAUUGGGCGUAAAGGGCGCGUAGGCGGUGUGUCAAGUCAGGCGUGAAAGCCCCGGGCUCAACCUGGGAACAGCGCUUGAGACUGGCACGCUCGAGUUCGGGAGAGGAUGGUGGAAUUCCCAGUGUAGAGGUGAAAUUCGUAGAUAUUGGGAAGAACACCGAUGGCGAAGGCAGCCAUCUGGACCGACACUGACGCUGAGGCGCGAAAGCGUGGGGAGCAAACAGG